GUGAUAAGGUCCGUGUUCGAAAGGGAAACAGCCCAGACCACCAGCUAAGGUCCCAAAAUAUAUGUUAAGUGGAAAAGGAUGUGGCGUUGCCCAGACAACUAGGAUGUUGGCUUAGAAGCAGCCAUCAUUUAAAGAGUGCGUAAUAGCUCACUAGUCGAGUGACACUGCGCCGAAAAUGUACCGGGGCUAAACAUAUUACCGAAGCUGUGGAUUGUCCUUUGGACAAUGGUAGGAGAGCGUUCUAAGGGCGUUGAAGCAUGAUCGUAAGGACAUGUGGAGCGCUUAGAAGUGAGAAUGCCGGUGUGAGUAGCGAAAGACGGGUGAGAAUCCCGUCCACCGAUUGACUAAGGUUUCCAGAGGAAGGCUCGUCCGCUCUGGGUUAGUCGGGUCCUAAGCUGAGGCCGACAGGCGUAGGCGAUGGAUAACAGGUUGAUAUUCCUGUACCACCUAUAAUCGUUUUAAUCGAUGGGGGGACGCAGUAGGAUAGGCGAAGCGUGCGAUUGGAUUGCACGUCUAAGCAGUAAGGCUGAGUAUUAGGCA
RNAcentral lists this ribosomal RNA (540 nucleotides) under Staphylococcus aureus. RNAcentral describes it as "partial 23S ribosomal RNA". It matches the Rfam family "Bacterial large subunit ribosomal RNA", at positions 995 to 1538 of the family's 2925-position model. The record is from RNAcentral. Lineage: Bacteria; Bacillati; Bacillota; Bacilli; Caryophanales; Staphylococcaceae.